AACGAACGCUGGCGGCAUGCCUAACACAUGCAAGUCGAACGAGAGCUUCGGGGCUAGUGGCGCACGGGUGCGUAACGCGUGGGAACCUGACCUUAGGUUCGGAAUAACUCCCGGAAAGGGGUGCUAAUAGCGGAUAAUGUUUUCGGCCCAAAGAUUUAUCUACCUUGGAUGGGCCCGCGUUGCAUUAGCUAGUUGGUAGGGUAAAAGCCUACCAAGGCGACGAUCCAUAGCUGGUCUGUGAGGCUGCUCAGCCACACUGGGACUGAGCCCCGGCCCAGACUCCUACGCGAUGCACGAGUGGCGAAUAUUGCACAAUCGGCUAAAGCCUGAUCCAGCUAUGCCGCUUAAGUUAUGAUGGCCUUAGGGUUGUAAAGCUCUUUUACCCGGACUGAUAAUGACAGUACCUGGAGAAUAAGCCCCGGCUAACUCCGUG
This 433-nucleotide ribosomal RNA is filed under the name uncultured bacterium. RNAcentral describes it as "partial 16S ribosomal RNA". It matches the Rfam family "Bacterial small subunit ribosomal RNA", at positions 29 to 507 of the family's 1533-position model. The record is from RNAcentral.